GCGGAGGAAAAGAAACCAACAGGGAUUGCCUCAGUAACGGCGAGUGAAGCGGCAACAGCUCAAAUUUGAAAUCUGGCUCCUGCGGGGCCCGAGUUGUAAUUUGUAGAAGAUGCUUUGAGCGUGGCUCCAGUCUAAGUUCCUUGGAACAGGACGUCAUAGAGGGUGAGAAUCCCGUAUGUGACUGGGUGCCUCCGUUCGUGUAAAGCUCUUUCGACGAGUCGAGUUGUUUGGGAAUGCAGCUCAAAAUGGGUGGUAAAUUUCAUCUAAAGCUAAAUAUUGGCCAGAGACCGAUAGCGCACAAGUAGAGUGAUCGAAAGAUGAAAAGCACUUUGGAAAGAGAGUUAAACAGUACGUGAAAUUGUUGAAAGGGAAGCGCUUGCAACCAGACUUGCCCGCUGCUGAUCAUCCGAGGUUCUCCCCGGUGCACUCGGCAGCGAUCAGGCCAGCAUCGGUUCUGGUGGGCGGAUAAAGGCCUUGGGAAUGUAGCUUCCUUCGGGGAGUGUUAUAGCCCUCGGUGCAAUGCGCCCUACCGGGACCGAGGACCGCGCUCGGCUAGGAUGCUGC
This 564-nucleotide ribosomal RNA is filed under the name Eupezizella aureliella. Its description in RNAcentral is "eukaryotic LSU rRNA". It matches the Rfam family "Eukaryotic large subunit ribosomal RNA", at positions 50 to 629 of the family's 3401-position model. Lineage: Eukaryota; Fungi; Ascomycota; Leotiomycetes; Helotiales; Hyaloscyphaceae. The record is from RNAcentral.